ACACAUGCAGUCGAACGAUGAACUCCAGCUUGCUGGGGGGAUUAGUGGCGAACGGGUGAGUAACACGUGAGUAACCUGCCCUUGACUCUGGGAUAAGCGUUGGAAACGACGUCUAAUACCGGAUACGACCAGCCCCGGCAUCGGGUGUUGGUGGAAAGAAUUUUGGUCAAGGAUGGACUCGCGGCCUAUCAGGUAGUUGGUGAGGUAAUGGCUCACCAAGCCUACGACGGGUAGCCGGCCUGAGAGGGUGACCGGCCACACUGGGACUGAGACACGGCCCAGACUCCUACGGGAGGCAGCAGUGGGGAAUAUUGCACAAUGGGCGAAAGCCUGAUGCAGCAACGCCGCGUGAGGGACGACGGCCUUCGGGUUGUAAACCUCUUUUAGCAGGGAAGAAGCGAAAGUGACGGUACCUGCAGAAAAAGCACCGGCUAACUACGUGCCAGCAGCCGCGGUAAUACGUAGGGUGCAAGCGUUGUCCGGAAUUAUUGGGCGUAAAGAGCUCGUAGGCGGUUUGUCGCGUCUGCUGUGAAAACCCGAGGCUCAACCUCGGGCCUGCAGUGGGUACGGGCAGACUAGAGUGCGGUAGGGGAGAUUGGAAUUCCUGGUGUAGCGGUGGAAUGCGCAGAUAUCAGGAGGAACACCGAUGGCGAAGGCAGAUCUCUGGGCCGUUACUGACGCUGAGGAGCGAAAGGGUGGGGAGCAAACAGGCUUAGAUACCCUGGUAGUCCACCCCGUAAACGUUGGGAACUAGAUGUGGGGACCAUUCCACGGUCUCCGUGUCGCAGC
RNAcentral lists this ribosomal RNA (789 nucleotides) under unidentified microorganism. Its description in RNAcentral is "bacterial SSU rRNA". It matches the Rfam family "Bacterial small subunit ribosomal RNA", at positions 51 to 852 of the family's 1533-position model. The record is from RNAcentral.